This is a small nuclear RNA of 129 nucleotides. Its record names the gene U1. It matches the Rfam family "U1 spliceosomal RNA". Rfam says of the family: U1 is a small nuclear RNA (snRNA) component of the spliceosome (involved in pre-mRNA splicing). Its 5' end forms complementary base pairs with the 5' splice junction, thus defining the 5' donor site of an intron. There are significant differences in sequence and secondary structure between metazoan and yeast U1 snRNAs, the latter being much longer (568 nucleotides as compared to 164 nucleotides in human). The record is from Ensembl.
AAAAAAAAAAAAGUUCACCCAGGGCGAGGCUCGUCCAUUGCACUUCGGCCAUGCUGACCCCUGUGAAUUCCCCAAAUGUGGGAACCAUGACUGCAUGGUAGUGGGGGACUGCGUUCGCGGUCUCCCCUG